CCUACGGGCGGCAGCAGUGAGGAAUAUUGGUCAAUGGGCUUACGCCUGAACCAGCCAAGUCGCGUGAGGGAAGACUGCCCUAUGGGUUGUAAACCUCUUUUGUCAGGGAGCAACGCCUGCUACGUGUAGCCGGACUGAGAGUACCUGAAGAAAAAGCAUCGGCUAACCCCGUGCCAGCAGCCGCGGUAAUACGGAGGAUGCGAGCGUUAUCCGGAUUUAUUGGGUGUAAAGGGUGCGUAGGCGGCAUGCCAAGUCAGCGGUAAAAUCGCGGGGCUCAACCUCGCUCCGCCGUUGAAACUGGCGGUCUUGAGUGGGCGAGAAGUAUGCGGAAUGCGUGGUGUAGCGGUGAAAUGCAUAGAUAUCGCGCAGAACUACGAUUGCGAAGGCAGCAUACCGGCGCCCAACUGACGCUGAAGCACGAAAGCGUGGGUAUCGAACAGGAUUAGAUACCCCGGUAGUC
Molecule: ribosomal RNA, 460 nt
Filed under: uncultured bacterium
Lineage: Bacteria
Description: partial 16S ribosomal RNA
Rfam family: Bacterial small subunit ribosomal RNA
Source: RNAcentral